Molecule: long non-coding RNA, 1895 nt
Organism: Humulus lupulus (European hop)
Lineage: Eukaryota; Viridiplantae; Streptophyta; Magnoliopsida; Rosales; Cannabaceae
Exons: 2
Source: RefSeq, a predicted model, not a curated record
UUCUCCCCUAAACCCUAUCUCUCUCUCUCUCUCUCACACACACACACUUCCCAGCCGCAACCCACCCUUACAUUUCUCUCUUCCUCUCCCUCACGCUCACUCUCUCACUCACUCAUCACUCACUCAAUGGCGUGCAAGGGUUUUGGAAACAAGACGAACGACGGGUGAUCGUGGGUAUUAGGCAAACGGUGGGGACUUGGGGGCCGGUCAUGGGCAAACGGCGCAAAUGAUAGGGGCUCGGGGGUCUUGGGAAAACGGCGCAAAUGACGGUCGUGGGUGGCUCGGUCUCGCAGAGGGUUCGUGGGUGGCUCGGUCUCACAGAGAGGUCGUGGGUGGUGGCUCUCGCGAUGGGGUUUUGGCAGUUUCUCUCUGUGUUAACGUAGAAGAUGAAGAAUGAUAAAAUUGAUCGUUCCAUACAUUGAGAAGAAUACUUAAUGUUCUAAGGUCAUGCUCAAAAAUCUUGCCUUUGAAGAAAUUAGUUUUCACGUCUUCCAUUAUUACAAUUAUUUGCACUAGAGAACCAGUGGCACCAGAUGUGCUAGUUGAGGAGACAUGAGAGCUUCAUAUCCUGUUUUCAGUGAGAAAUCAAAUAAGGUGAGUACAUGUGUUUGACACUAGUACACCCCUAUAUAGGCGUGUUAAACAUGAUUAUGGACAGUAUUAAUUUAGGCGUGUCAAAUAUAAUAAUUGCAAUUCUUAUGUGAGCUAUAAUAUCCAUUAGAUUCUAUAUGUUGUUCAUAUUUGUGGUGCCAAGCCCUUGAUUUCUUAAAAAAAAAUUUGAACACAGUGGCCAAUAAAAAACUAGAGGAUCAAUAACCUUGAAUCUUUAACAAAUAAGCUAUCACAGUGGCCAAUCCUUAGUAGCUGUUGCUUAUGGUAUUAUGAGUAGAAGGCAAAGGUGGAGGAAGCUUUGAUGAUUGUGACUUUUUUGGGAGAGCUAUUUUGAAUAUGCGAGUAAAGUAGUACAAGUUCAUUCCUUUCGUUUAUUAGUUGAACAUUGUUAAAUUAUUGAAUAUAAUGUCUAGUUCAAAUGUUCAAUUACUUGAAAAUGAAAAGAUAUAUGCUCUGUUAUAUGGAGUUUUUGUGUUUUGUUUCUUGUUUCGUCAUACCUAAUCAUUUAUCUGUUUCAUUAUAUUUCUCUAGCUUUUUCUGUUUUUUUUCAUGAAGAUUAAUUACAAAUAGUUUUUAAAGGUGUUUUGGAAUUCUGAUAUACUUUUGUCCCUAUGAUUACAUUGCCAGGAUAGUUAUGCUUUGAGCUUAGUAGUAUAAGAACAAUAAUCAAAGUCUUAGAUAUUUGCAUAUGGUUUUUGCAAGUCUUCUUCUCUAGUUUGUGAUAUAAACACUGGUUUUGUUUUGUUGUUUAGUCUUUUUGGAUGAAUUUUAAUUCUCGAUUAGAUGAAAGAGAAGUAUGUAUGUUUACCUUGUCAUCUGUUGUUUAGUCUUUGUUGAGUGUGUGUGUCUAUGUUUUUGUUCAUGAUAAUCUAAGUUUGAUUUUGUAUUCUAAUUUUUUAUGAUGUUGGAAAAUAUAAUACUUAUUACUGUGUGUCAUUUUGUAAACUUGUCGUUGCAGAUCAGAUAUAGACAUGUUGAUUAUGCUCAAAUUUAUGGGAUGAUCAGAUUCUUCUUUCGUAAACUGCUCAAAUUUGUCCACUGUAUUCUUUAAAAGUAAAGGAAGUCUCAAUCUGAAAGUUACAAAAACUCAGGCUCGGGAUUCAUGCAACAAGACUGUAAGGCGUAUUCUUGUCAAAGGUGGAAGUCAUAUAUGAAUUUUGUUAUGAUUGUUCUUUAUUCAUUUUGAUGUUUAUUUGUUGUUUUUGGAUAGUUUGUUGUGUAAAUGAGUAUGUUUUGUAUAUGUGAGUUUGAUUUUGGACUAUCAAUAAAGAUGUAUUUUUAGA